This 64-nucleotide transfer RNA is filed under the name Bivetiella cancellata. RNAcentral describes it as "transfer RNA-Val". The record is from RNAcentral. Lineage: Eukaryota; Metazoa; Mollusca; Gastropoda; Neogastropoda; Cancellariidae.
AAAACAUAGUAUAAGUCAAUACAUUUCAUUUACACUGAAAGAAUAUUUAAGUAUAAAUUGUUUU